AAAGAAAAGAAGCAAAAACAGUUUACUGGGAGGUUUGCCUAGAAUGUAUUACAUUAAUAAUUAUAAAACAUUGUUUCAUAAUUGCUAAUCUCUGCUUUUGGCUACAAACUGACAAGUGGGGAGAUGGGCUGUAAGUACUGACAUUAGUAUGCUUGCCAUGACCCAACUUAAUUAAUUCUACCAAUCAAAGCAGUUUAUCAACAUCAUUUCUAUGAAAUCAAGAAUUUAAAUAUAACUUUGGCAAGGUCUACUACAAAUUUUAAAUUGAUGCCCACCCCAGAGCUACAACAAGGCUAAAUUAUCUGGAAUCCAAAAUGUAUAAUCAAUUUGUUCUGUUCAUUUCAUGGCUUUAUCUUUCUUCUUAUUAUAUAGAUUUUACAAUAGGAUAAUUAUUUGGGAAGUUUUUUUUUUAAGGAUUUAUAUGUUAUCCACAAAAUGAUGACACAAAUCAUAAGCAAUACAAAAUGGAAUAUUUAAGGAUAAAAACAAUUAAAAGGGGGAUGUAAAAGAAACAGGAAAUAGAGCCUAACUAGUUUUCAGGUAAGCUAAUUACAUACAACUGAAUUGCAAAUUUGAUUCUAAAUCACCUGGUAAUCUAAGGCCAAAGGGGAAAUAUACAACAUAGCUUUUCUGUUCAUAAAGAAGCAUAAGAAAUUCAUCUUGUUGAGAAAUUUAUCUGUAACUAAACACAAGCAGGUUUUACCCAAAUUAGAAGGGCACCUCUUGCAAUAACAAAGUCCCAACCUCAUACUAAGACAGGGUCUAAAACAGAGCUAGUCCAACUCCUCAAUAUUUUACAACAUCAACUAUCUUGACUCAUUCUCUCCUAUUACAUUUUCAUAUAUCACUAUUCUUAUUUUCUUCCCUUAAAUCUCCAAAUACUCCCUGGCCUUCAUUCCAUUCACAGAAGAUGGGACACAAGGUAGAUUGCUCAAUGUCUGUUUGCCAACACCCUCAGAAUUCGUCACUUUCUUUACUCUUCUUUGCUCAUCUCCUUUUCAGGAGAAGAGACUGUCCUGACUCUGCCGAAGCUAAUUUUCCUGUGUCAUCCAAAAAACUGAUCCAAUCAUUUUGGAUUAUAUUCCUUUAAUCUCUCCGUUUACACUGCCUUAUUAACAGUCAGGCCUAAACUACUCCAGGAAGCCUAAAAUCAAUGCCCUACUUCCUCAACACCUACUUAUGCCUUCACAAUCUGGCUUGUCACCCCCACCAUUCAAGUGAAAUAGCUAAAAACAAUGAUCUUUUCAUAUAAAGAUCAUCUUUCCUCAUUUCUCCUUCCUUUGAAUCUAGUUUUAUGCCUCUAUUCCCAUAACUUGCCUUCCUGGUUCUUCUUUCCAACAUCUUGUUACGUGAGCCCAGCAUGGCUAAGAGCAGGAUAGAAGUGCCCAAGGCCCCUAUGUUAUCAUCAUACACUAGAUGAUCACGCCAUUCACCAAUCUCUCAGUCUAUUAACCAGUGAAUAUAGUUCAAACUGCGGAGGCAGUCAUGGAUAAAGAGCUGCGCCUGAAGUCAGGAUGAGCUAGAAUUUCAAAUCUAUUUCUCUGAUACCAACUGUAGGAUCCUGGGCAAAUAAUUUCAGUUUUUGUCCCUUUGCUAACUCCCUGGAAACCUACUAAAUCACAGGCCAGCUGUGGACCUGUGUUGGCAGGAGGAGUUCCUGUCCCACAAACUCCUUACAGACAGAUUCACCACAGAUCUUUCUUGUCUAGCACUUGGUAUCCUUUGUAGAAGUCUUGUGUUUUCUUCCCCAGGUUUAUGCUAUUACUUAGUGUAUCACAAAUCUCUACCUGAUGAAAUCCCACAGAAUCCUUCAAGUUCAAAUGCCACGUCCUUCACCGAGCCUUUCCUGAAAUAACUCUUUCUUCUUAAACAGCACUUGGUCACCUUCCUGUGUAAGUCUGUGGGCAAUGCUCUGUUAGUACAGCUUGCUCCAUGAUAAGAGGGCUUGGAUCUCCAAUAAUUUCUGUGUCUCCCCAGAGCUUCAGACACACUCAGUAUAAAACACCUUAAAGUUCAUAACUGAUCCAGGCCCUCUCCUAUACUGCUAUAACUAGUCUGAGACAAAGAGAAUAUUUGGUCACAUGAUCCAAUCAACUACCCUCUGCUGAAAUAAGUGGGGUAUGUAAGUAGUGAAACUGCAUUAUCACUGAAUUUAUGCUUUGAAAGUGUGUAUUAGCUGAAAAAUAUCAGUAAGGUUUCCCUAUGCCAGCCUACGUGCUGCCAUUAACUUUCUGCCAACGGCACAUCCUGAUGUCGUUUUACACCUCAAUUUAGCACCAGUCCAGGACAUAAACUUGUAACAUCUUUUGGCUCAUCUCCUGAAAAUCUCUCAGACACAGGGCAAGCCUUUCUUGGAAGCCAUUACUUUGGUGCUUUAUUUCUAAGCCGAAAUACUGCACAGAACUGCAUUUGAGACGGUUAUUUCACUGUGUGACAAAAUGACCAAAACAUCUCCUACACACUCUGGAUGUUCGAUCAAAACCACUUACACGGAACUGACAAGACUAAAAUCUGUAAGCAAGAGGAGCUGAGCCCAUUUUUGGAACUGUGAAUCAACAUAUUUAGUUAUAAGAGGUGACUUAGGAAGCAACUUAACUUCAGUUAGAAGCAGUCCAGUAGAUCCUGUCACUAUUAAAGGAUCAAAUCAAUAAGGUCAAUAAUUAGUGGCUGGAAAGGAAAAUGACUCUCAUACAAUGAGACCCAGGCAUAGAUAUUUUUCUUUCACCCUCCCCUACCCUUCUUCACUUGGACCACACAGAUCCUAACUCUUCCAUCAUGUCAGGAUACAACAUUUUAGAUAUCUCCAUUAUCUGGGGGAAAAAAAAGGAUAGCAAGGACAAUUGGUGAGUAGAUUUUUUUUUGGGGGGGGGCAUAGUAUUAGAAAGAUGACUGCAGGAGUUUCAUGACGGCUGUGGCAAUCAAGGAUUCAGCACGCUGAGCUCAUUUAUUCAGAACGCUAAUUCUCUAUGCAGGUUAAAGGCCCAGAGAGAACACAAACAGAUUACCUCAAUCUCACUGGAAAGCCUUGAAUGAUUUUUACAAAUGUAGUUUCUAAUUCUCCUUCAAACUAAAAAAAAUGACCUCUUCUUCAUCCCAUCAUUCAUACAACUUAAUUCACCUGCAGUAGAAGGUUACUCUAUCAAGAGGGUUCUUUCAAAGUCUGACCAAUGGUCAGCCUGCUCUUCAGAACUAAGGCACAAGGUCCUUAUUAGUUAUGACUCUGAAUCUACUAGUGUCCUAUUAUGUAAGCAUGGGAGAUGUGUAUAGCUAUUUUUAUCCUGGAUAAAUAAAACCCUUAUCUCUAAAUCUAAUUGCAGCCUACAAUUUUAAAAUUCUUCCCCAAACAUUUUUUUAAUACAAAAAUUGAAAGUAGUUGUCUCAUUUUACUUCCCUUCCCAUUCAUUAAUUGGUGGACAGCUAACAACCAGAUCAACAUCAAGUGGAAAAAACAAGUUAAAGGCAAAGCUGAGCCACUAAAGAUCAACCUAGUUGUCUUUAGACAAUUAUUAAAGUAGCCUUCUUCAUGAACUAAGAGUCGAGGCAUUUAUUGUAAGCAACAAUAACAGCAACAAAAAGACAUUCUCUUUCACAUAUCAUUUUCCCCCAAACAUGCCCAUGUCCAGAGAUGGUAAAAGGGGCAAGAAGAAAGUUUUCCUUCAAAAAUCCCAGAGUUCUGCCUGAUUUUUAACAUUUGCCAAGAAUAUGUGAUCUUAGAAAACAAAGAUACAGAAAGAAGUCCGAGCUUUGUAUAUAAAAAAGCUGGGGAAAAAAUGUAAAACUGUACAUAAUUUAGAAGUUUUACAAUAACACGAGCAUUGAUGCAUUUGCUUAAAAGCUUGAUUCCUUUAAAUAGAAAAUUUCUCUAAGCACAUUCAAAAUAAUUUGAUAUUAAAAAUUUAUGUGACUCUUCUGCAACUCUAUCAAUUCAAAUGCAUAUCUACAUGUCGAACUAAAACUAAGAUAUGUUAUCCAAGCCCAUUUAGGUAAUGUGACAGCUGACCUGGGUUCUAGGCAGGCUUUCUCAUCAACUAGCUAUGUUACCCUAAAGCAAGUCACUUCACCAUUCUGUGUUUGUUUCCUUAAAUGUGAAAUGAAGAAGGCUGAAUUAGAUACUUUCAAAUCUCUGAACACUUAUUCAAAUCCUAAUAUAGGUGGUCCACAGUCAAUAUAUUCCUUGAAUGAAUAUCCUAUUUUCUAUGAGGAUAGAGGAAGAAUUUUAAUGGAUGACUAAGGCAGCUACUUGGUAAGCAAGAUAUUUCAAGUUUUUGUGACUGGUAACAAAGUUAAUGUUUUCUAGAACAAGAACUGAAUGCUACCCAUCCCAUUUGAGUAUAUGUAGUCUUUCAGAUUCUGGAAGGACUAAUGCUACUGCAAUGUACCUCUAGCCUUAGAAGAAAUGUAAGCAAAGACAAGGGUUAGUGCAGAAUACUUGUGGCAGUGUACAAGAUGGAACUGAUCCCCAUAAGGCCUGCAGAAGACGUUUUUCAUGAGGGGCAUGAGAAGGACCAACUUCUUCUAGGAGGCAACUUGGCAAACCAGAAAAGAUUACAUGCUGGAUUUGGAACUGUAAGACCCAUGUUCACAUCUUGAUGCUGCUACUUCCUCCUUCUAAGGGAAAGCUGUAUCAUCUUCUGACAUUCAGAAACAAAAAAAAAAUGCACUGAAAUUUUGAGCGCUGGUACCGAUGUUGGACCGACUUCUUAUGAUAACAAAUAAUAUAUCUGAGGGCAACAGCAAAAAAAAAAAGCCCCCAAAACAAAACAAACUGAAUAAAAGGUAUCUGGAAAAAUCAA
Long non-coding RNA from Phascolarctos cinereus (koala), 4793 nucleotides. RefSeq lists it as uncharacterized. NCBI's taxonomy places the organism in Eukaryota, Metazoa, Chordata, Mammalia, Diprotodontia, Phascolarctidae. The record is from RefSeq and is a predicted model, not a curated record.